AGAGUUUGUAACUGCUGAAUUUGAGGAAGCUCAAGUCGACGAAAGUUAACACUUUUGAAGAAUGUGAGGACAGAACUUCAAGGAUUAGUAUAACACUGUCUGAGAGGUUUAGUCAUGUCCGAUUCAGAUGGAAUCCAUUGGUUUCAAGUGGAGACUCUUCGGGGUUCAGUUCGACAGGUUGUUUGAAAACUGAGUUGGUCAGUACACACAAUAUUGAUUUGUAUCUUUAGCAAUGAAGGGU
Molecule: long non-coding RNA, 241 nt
Filed under: Daucus carota (carrot)
Lineage: Eukaryota; Viridiplantae; Streptophyta; Magnoliopsida; Apiales; Apiaceae
Description: long non-coding RNA (DCAR_LNC004158)
Source: RNAcentral